UGCCUGGGGCUGGAGCGAGGAGCCCAUUGGGCACGACCGCACCAACCCUAGCUCCCGAUCCACAGCCACGCACUCCUCCCUCCUCCCUCUCACAGCCGCCACACCCCAUUCCUCUCUUCCUCCUCCCUACUCCUUCCCGGAUCCCUGCCACCGCCACACCCACUCGUCUCCUCCUCUCUCUUCUAGCUAACGCCUCCUUCCUGAUCUCUGCGUCAGCCGUAGCGCGAGAGGAGCAGCGGCAGCGGAGAUGCUCCGAUGGCGGCGUCGAGUUGCGAAGCGGCGGCGCCCGGGCGCGAGUCGACAGAAGCCGGAGCGGCUACUCCGGGCCCCGAUCUGGGGGGGUUUGGUUCCAGGGCACCGACAGCUUCUUUGUCUAUGACGCGGGGCCGUGUCGCCGGGGGAAGCCUUGGAUCCAUGCAGGGGGGCUCCCCGGGGGGCGCAGAGGAGGGGGUUGGACGAGCGGGUGAGGAUGCGUGAGGCCAGAAGGAGUUUGGGGUUGCCAGAGAAGCAUAGCCCGCACGGGGGCUAGUCAUCGCCAGAGCAGAGGGGAGGAGGUCGAUGCAGGGGACGCCAUGGAUGGUCGGGGCGCUGGCUCCUCCUUUCCCCGUGCCACGGCUGCCCAGAUCCGGCGAUCCCCUCCCACUCUGGCAUCCAGGUUGGUUGACUCGAUCUCUCAAUCACCCCACCGCCGCGCUGCACACCGUCGUCAAGGACCAAGCCGCCGCCGCCACAGUGUCCUCCUCCUCGGUGGCCGCGGGUGCCCUGGCCGCCAAGCUGCCCAUUCUUAUCUUUCUGGAGGCAAUCUGGUAGUGCUGAGCGCACGGUGAUGCUGUCACGGUAUCCCCCUCCCCGGUGUUCUUAGAUCCAGCAGUAGCUCAACGCAGGAAAGCCGGUUGUGCUCGAUCUGCUCCCCUCCUUCGCCUCACAGGCUCAGCAAGCAGGAACAAUGUUAGCUCUGUUUCUCCCACUCCCCUCCCCCCUCUCCCUCCUAUAGAUUUCUCUCUAAUGGCAACGCCUAUGGGUUCGGUGUAUCAUAGCUUUUUUUUUCUUUCUUCCAACUGAAGCCUGCUCUCAUUAUGCCUGCCACCUCUCUAUGAGAUCAGUAGGUUUGAUCGCCUUGUCUGCAAUUUGGCUGAUUCCAGUUAGUAUUCUUGUUCUUUAUGGGAGAUACGAGUUUGGAUGUAGCUCACUGGCCAGGAGAACCUGCGAUGCCAGCAGACCAAUCUAGAUCUGCACGUGUUGAAUAUGCAAACAGUUAUGUAAUAUGUGCAGUUUACUUGCUCUGUUUUUACGGGGAUUUUGGAAUUUUCCAUACAUGCAUGUCCCAGAUCCGUUCUGUGAUUUCCAUUAUCUAUUUACUUGUGACCCAAGUGUGUCUUAUUUCCAUCUUUCUUUGUCUUGAUAUAGCUGAAGGUCAACUGCUAGCCCAUCCGUGCAAUUCACUAAUUUAAUUAUGCCUGCUUGCUCGAAGUCUAUUUUAUAGAUGGCCGGCAUAUUAUCGUGGGAGGUGUUUAACUGUUUUCUCUGGAAUAAACUGAAAGCUGGUUAUUUUGAAAAUGCAUCAUACCGCGCUGAUUUAUAAUAAGAUUGUUACGCAUCAUCAGUUUUUGGCAUAUGCUUUUGAAUUAUAUAUCGCCAUGCCAAGUUGCCAACUAACUGAUACAUGGUUAUGGUUGAGGAACAAUGUUGAGCAGUACAAGGUUACACCAUCACAGUUCAAACACAUCUUUUUUGGUUGAUAGUUUUUGAGAUAGCUUACUGCUUAUGCCCAAUGGGAGUUUAAUUGGGCAUCUUUAAUAUUCUAAGAAUCACACCGGCGCAGCACACUUAGGUUGUUUCCAGAUCUGAUGUUUGUCUAAGUCACCAAGUUAACCCACAAGAAUUUGUUUACUUUCUUGGCUAUUGUGGUUAAAGGCAUCCUUUUAUUAGAGCUAUAUAUAGUUUUUGGACAUGUUCCAGUUUGGUUAUUUUUUUAUGGAUUUUGAAUAUGUUUCAAUUUGAUCACUUUUGAGACUCAGUUAGAACAGAUAAUUUUUGUUUCUUUACCAUAUAGUUCCUAAUCAGAAAAGCCUCAUCUGCAGGUUGGAGGCAUUGGCGUGAAGGUGUCAUGAGUUAUCUGCAAGGGCAUUGUUGUGACGUGCUCCUCCAUGUCUCCCGCGAGUUCUUGGUGUGGCGAUCAUGGCUCCAGAGAGCAUAAAAUGUAUGCAUUGGAGGUGGUAGCAUUGCUAAAGAUCUACAUAUUGUAGCAGUAGUUUUUACUGUGAAACAUAAGCUCUUUUUACAGUGCAAUUAUUAAAUUGUAGUAGUAGUUUUUCUUGCAGCUUGUAGUAGUAGUUUUUCUUGUCAAAAUCGGUCCUUUCUCUGUACUUGUUGAUCUUUUUAGUCUGAAUUUUCCAGCCAAUUCAGGAUUUUUGUUUUGCAACAUUAUGGACGAUGCAUGUCUUUUAUAUUGGCUUGGAUUGCAAGCUCUUCUUUACAUUGGUGACACAUAUGACCUACAGCGUUGAAUCAGUUGUAUUUUUGGUUGAAUUUCAAAUCAAAAGUCUUGAAUUACAGUUUCAGUUCUUUCUACUUAGCUUGGCAAUCAGUUAACUAUCCAAGUACAGCUUACUGAAUGGCAUGUGUUGUCAUGAAUGAAAGUUGGUCCAGUCCAACUUGUCAUUUUUUUAUUGGGUCUAAAAUUUGACUGAACCUGAACUGAAGUUUAGCUCAGCCUCAUUUGACAAACAGAUACACACACAACGUAGAAUAUAUAUAUACGUUCUUGAAUGAUAUGCUAUAUAUAUACCUUCAUCCACACUGUCUAUUACCAGUGCUUUUUGUUGUUGUCAGCGACAUCAUGGGUGCCGGUGGCAGAAUGACGGAGGAGCGGGAGAAGCAGGAGCUGCUCGGACACGCUAGCGCAAGUGAGAUCUUCCAGCAUGCGCCGACGGACAAGCCGGCAUUCAUGCUGGCCCAUAUCAAGGAGGCAAUCCCACCUCACUGCUUCCAGUGCUCGUUGAUCAAGUCCUUCUCCUAUGUGGUCUAUGACCUCGUCAUCAGCGCGUCCCUCCUGUACGCCGCGUUGGUCUGGAUCCCAACACUCUCGAGCAUGCAACAGUUGGGCGCCCGUCCGCUCUACUGGGUGCCUCAUUUUGAUUUUCUUACCUUGAGGGCUGCGACGAGGCAGACAGGUGGCGGGCGGCAACAAUAGGGGUUGGCGGAUGCUCCGAGACCAAUAGCCUACUUAGUGAUGGGAAGGAGGAUCCGACAAGUUAGCCCCCACAAUUGUGUUGUUGGAGAACUUCUGCGAGCUCAGUAAAAUAAUGAAUCUUCAUCUCCGAUGUUUUCUCUUGAAAAUGGAGCGCGGAUCGCAGGAGCAAGGAGCUGGUCGAGUGUAGUGAACAAGCAAUCAACGCGGCACAUUUGGAAGUUUUGAGAGAUGUGAAUGGCACCGGUCUUGUCAUACUAAUGAGCAGGAGCACCGGCCACAUUACUCUUCAUGCCACUCUGAGCAGUCGGCUGCUGCUUGAGAUUGAUUUCCAUGUUCAAGGGAAGGGAGACCGGAUUGAGUUCCUGUAUAUGCAAUAAGAAGGGGCAUUGUCGUGGUUGUUGCUGAAGGUGUUGGUCAGGAGCUGAUUACCGGGACUGAUGUAUGUCAACAUGCUGUUCCUUAACGUUGGCCCUCUUCUAUAAAGUUCACAUGCAACUCUCCUCCAUGGUUAGAAAAAACUAAUUUAAACAUUUUGUUUCUUUGAUGGUUACUCAUUUCUCUUACCAUUGUUGUAUCAAAACAAUUGUAUUUUCGCUGAUGGCCGCUUGGGCUCAUUUUCGAAGAGAAUGAGAUGUGGAAUAAACUACUCUGAAAUGGUUGGUUCCCU
This is a long non-coding RNA of Triticum dicoccoides, 3860 nucleotides long. RefSeq lists it as uncharacterized. Lineage: Eukaryota; Viridiplantae; Streptophyta; Magnoliopsida; Poales; Poaceae. The record is from RefSeq and is a predicted model, not a curated record. The transcript has 3 exons.